Prionailurus viverrinus (fishing cat) is the source of this 2109-nucleotide long non-coding RNA. RefSeq lists it as uncharacterized. NCBI's taxonomy places the organism in Eukaryota, Metazoa, Chordata, Mammalia, Carnivora, Felidae. The record is from RefSeq and is a predicted model, not a curated record. The transcript has 6 exons.
CUCGGCACACGCCCCCUGUCCGCUCUCGGACCCGGGAUCCAGGCCGGGCCACAUGCUCCCCUCCCUCCCCUUCCCGGUCCCAGCCGGCCGUCUCAGCCAGCCCGCCGAGGCCCUCCGUGCGGCCGGGCUGCGCUCCUUCCCCAGCCCCCGGGACGUCAAAGACAAAAUGCCGGCUUCGGGCUGGGGGCUGGGGGGGUACAGGUCUGAGGACUGCACCGCGACUCUGCCCACCCCUCUUCUGCUCAACACCCUCCUCUCCCACAAGGAUUCGCGCGCGUCCUCGGGCCCCUUACACUUCGCGGUGAGCUUGCCUGGAUCCCCGACCGCGGGGGCCGCGGGGCUGCUGCGGGUGCAAAGCUCUGGGACCGGAUGGCAGACAGGAAGACUGAGGCCGAAGGGAAGCGAACGCUUCUCAGACGUGGUGGCCGGACUGAGACUUUUUCAAACUAAAGGCGCUGAGCCGUGGAACAGUCCCUGAAAAACCCCCUGCACGAGAGAGAAUAUGUCUCAGAGCCUGCCUCCCAGAAAACCCAGCCCAUGAGGGGGAGCACGGGAGGCACUUGCUGUGCGUCCUGCUGACGGGAAUGACCCAGAAGAGGGGGAGAGGUGCCCUACUGCCUGACCAGCUUCAGAAGGCCACAGGCUCCCACAACAGGUGAACACCACGUGCUGACUAUGCACGGGGACCUUCAAGCAGGGGGCGAGCAGUCUCCGUUCCCAGGGUACCAGCCUUGCCCUGCCCGGAGGCUGCUGCUGCAAACCCAGGAAAACAGCACGUCGGGGCCAAGAGUGCCAGCCGGGCUGGAAACAUUAGAAGGGACCGAGGCAGCGAGAUGUCUAAAAUAGGAAGACGCCGGGAAGAUUGGCCUGGCUGCCGGCGACGCUGGCUGCGGGGAUCUGGCCCGGCUGUGCAGACGGAAAAGCUAAGAGGCUGGACUGAGCCGGGGAGCCAGAAGCCUACAAGAAGAAUUGAAACCCAGGGAUCUGAAAGCUGGAAGAGUGUACGUACAAGGAGCCAUCUGGUCAGCAGAAUCAGGAAAGCCUUUGCAGAGGAGGGGCCAGCCCAACUGGACGGUGAGGGAUGAAGAGGAGUUCGCCAAGGCAGAUGCAAGGGGUAAGGGCAGGCAACACGACUGCAAGGCAUACCCAACAUUCUGGGCCAGGAGGGCUUUCAAGUUCUUUUCUGUCCUGCGUUCUGAUUUUCUAGCUGAAUCCUGCUGUUAAAGCCUAAAUGGAGCCCGUGGGGAGCCCACAGCGUCCAGCUCCUCCCGGGUCUCUGAGCUGACCCAGAAUAGCCCGUUUCUAGAACACAAACAGAUGGAGGCCAGGGGUCCGUCCUGGAGCAUCCUGGCUGGGUUUCUCGGGCGAGGACAGCUAAGCUGAGCAGGUCCAAAUCCCAGCUCCCCAUUUACCAGCAAGUGACUCCACUUCUCAGUGCUUUUGUUUCCUCAUCUGUAAUUGUAGGAUAAGGACGGUCCCAGGUCCCCAGAGGGCUGGCAGGAGAACCGAGUUAAUGCAGAUGGAACUUACAACACUCUUCCCUCCUCCUCUCCUCUCUCCCUCCGCUUUCUCCCCUCCUUCCCCCUCUCCCUUUCCCCUCCCUCCUCCCAGACCCCUCCCUCCCUCUCUCCUUCCCCCACAGCCCCACUGGACUGCCUUUUGUAAGAGACCUCUAUGGCUGUGUCACCAGGAGGCCUAGACCUAGGCCAUUUCCUCUGCCCAGACCGAGAUUCCCCUAGAGCCUCACCCCUUCUUUAUUAAGGUCUCUGGUCAAAUGCCGACUCCCUGACCGCCUUCUCUAAGAUAUCCUGCCCCGCCCCCUCCUCAUCACUCUAUAUGCACCCCUGCCCUCCCCCACACCUGAGUUUUCUUCCUGGCCCUUAGCAUACCGUGUGACAUUAUAUUAUAUAUUUAUGUAUUGUCUUCUGCCCUGGCUUCCAUGCAACCUCCAUGCCGUACCCCCAGCACCUGGAACAGUGGCCAGUGCAGUGGACCCCUAAUAACUAUGCACGGAAUGAAAUAUUUGUGGAAGAACUAAGCAUUAGCUAUAAUUGUUAUUUUUCGCCACUGCCUCCUGUCUUGAUUUAGGAGCGAACGAUCAGGGAGCUC